UUACCGGCUUCCGCUGCUAAACUUUUAUUCUUUCAAGUGAAUUUUCACCACUUUCUGGUCUUCAUCCUGCUUGACAAAAUGCCUAGCUGAAUGAAUCCAUAUCUAGGACUAGGAAAGAAGCAGGAUGAAGGAGAGCUUGCAACCAUUCCUUGUAAAUCAUCUGAUUUGAAUAUACAAGAAGCUGAGAUUGAUAGACACAUUAAACUUCAGGCAAGAA
Salvia splendens (bonfire salvia) is the source of this 217-nucleotide long non-coding RNA. RefSeq lists it as uncharacterized. The transcript has 3 exons. NCBI's taxonomy places the organism in Eukaryota, Viridiplantae, Streptophyta, Magnoliopsida, Lamiales, Lamiaceae. The record is from RefSeq and is a predicted model, not a curated record.